RNAcentral lists this ribosomal RNA (433 nucleotides) under uncultured Clostridium sp. RNAcentral describes it as "partial 16S ribosomal RNA". It matches the Rfam family "Bacterial small subunit ribosomal RNA", at positions 341 to 792 of the family's 1533-position model. Lineage: Bacteria; Bacillati; Bacillota; Clostridia; Eubacteriales; Clostridiaceae. The record is from RNAcentral. RNAcentral also lists the same sequence under 1 other name.
ACGGAAGGCAGCAGUGGGGAAUAUUGCACAAUGGGGGAAACCCUGAUGCAGCGACGCCGCGUGAGUGAAGAAGUAUUUCGGUAUGUAAAGCUCUAUCAGCAGGAAAGAAAAUGACGGUACCUGACUAAGAAGCCCCGGCUAACUACGUGCCAGCAGCCGCGGUAAUACGGAGGGUGCAAGCGUUAUCCGGAUUUAUUGGGUUUAAAGGGUGCGUAGACGGUCUGGUAAGUCAGUGGUGAAAUUGGCUCGCUCAACGAGACAAUUGCCAUUGAUACUGUUGGACUAGAAUGCGAUCGGCGUCGGAGGAAUGCGACAAGUAGCGGUGAAAUGCUUAGAUAUGUCGCAGAACACCGAUAGCGAAGGCAUCCGAUGAGGUCGCAUUGACGUUCAGGCACGAAAGCGUGGGGAUCGAACAGGAUUAGAUACCCUGGUA